RNAcentral lists this long non-coding RNA (3215 nucleotides) under Triticum aestivum (bread wheat). Its description in RNAcentral is "long non-coding RNA (TAES_LNC005214)". The record is from RNAcentral. Lineage: Eukaryota; Viridiplantae; Streptophyta; Magnoliopsida; Poales; Poaceae.
AAAAAAAGGACGUAAGUGAAAAACAUAAGGGAAUAUAGAUGUAGACCUUGGUCCAGCAAUUCAAUCUUGCUCCAGCAAGGCAUAUUACAAAAUGACGUUUCUCACAUUCCUAAGUCUAGUUAGUAAAUAUCAUCAGGAGGCACAGGAAAUUAAGUGUUGGAGCUAACUGGGAUAUAUAUUACAUAGUGGCCUUGUCCCUUCCGGACUUGGGCAAUCAUGGGCGUGUGCUCUGUUUUUCUGGCCGGUAGAUCCAGUAGUAAAUAAUCCUUGUUUGGUGCGUCCUCCAUGAAUCAAUCAAGGUGCUUUAAUCCUUAUGGCAGAAAGAAGUCCUCCCAGAGCAACCUAACUGGUACUGUAGCAAUUACUUGGUUCUUGCACAAAUGCGUCAGACAAUACAAACUGCACAAAAUUCUCUUCAAGAAUCAAGGAUAUAUCUACUAAAAAGCAAAUAAAUUAAGAGCCAAUACAAAAACUUCAAUGCUAGUACUUUACCCUGAUCAAUCCUUUCUUAUCACCAUGCUUUUUAUGCUUCCGCAGCCACAUGUAAUCUCCAUUGACAAUCAUCGCUCAUCGGCAUGAACUGGCACUUCUCUGUGCGCCAAUGCAUCCUCUGGUUGGUGCCAGCGCUCGCCGGCCAACCUGCAACUGUUACCAGAUAGAUCAAUCAGAAGAACAUAAGCAUCAUAGACGAUAGUCGUCAACCCAUCUAUUUGCAAGUCCUAGCAUUUUGUACAACACCUAAAGAUAAAGGUACUAAAAUCAUUUAUUAGAUACACAAUAUUUAGAUAUAUAAACUAAAUUAUUAUACCAGUCUCUUGAACCAAUAGAAAGGAAACAUGCAAAUUUCGGUUUACUUAAGAAGAAUGUAAAUUUUGUCAUACUAAAUGCUAAGAAAAAUGAUCCAAAUUCAGAGGUACAUCAAAUCACAAUUAUAGUAAUGAAAGAAAACACACAAAAGGCAUUUUUAUCUCUUCCCAAAAUAGGAUAAAAAAAUUAAUGAACAAUUAGACUUUUUAAUGGUUCAUAGAUGAAUACACUGUACCAUAAAGAGUCUUAUAUUGUAUAUUGUGUUACCUAACUUAUUUAGAUAGGCAAAUAAUCCUAACAAAAAAUAUUAGUACAGAAAAAUGUAACAUAAAACAUGAAAUGUAAGAACCAAAUAGAGGAACAAACAUUUUGUGGCCACUGGAUUGUAAAAAGAAUGGACACUAAAGUUACUAUAAAUUUUUAACUUUUCUAUAAGGUGAGGUAGUAAUAAGCCAAAAAAAUAUGACAUCUCAUUUCUUUUGGCGCAUUCACCUCAAUUAUUUUCUUAUGCUUGUUUUUUGCAUAAAAUAUAAGGCAUGUGUGUAGACAGAUGAAUGAACUAUUGGACUCUAUGUGCAUCCUUUUUGUGAGCUUAUACAACUAAAAAUCAGGAAGAGAUUGCAAACUUGGAAAUCAUAGAAACUUACAUUUAGUUUUGUAUUUAGUUAUUAAUCGAUAUGAUUUUCCAUUUAUCCCACUACCAAGACCCGAGCUUGAAUUACUCAUUACUCAGUGCCCUGCAUAUUUUGUGAAAGGCUCUUAGUUGAGAUAUUCCAUGUCCAAAAAAUACAAUUUAUUUAAUGCGUUCUUAAUUCUGAAUCAGGUACAAAAAGAAUCAGACAAAUAUUAGUUAUGUCUUAUAAGUUUGAUACAUGUGCCGCCUAAUAAAUUUUCCCAAAAAGGAAAGCUGGGAGGUCCUAUGCAGCACCAUCAUGUGUUUCUUCUUUCUAGUUUAGAGACAACCUAAGAUUUCACUACUGAUAAGGAGAAUCUCCUUACUAAGGAAAUUACCAGGUCAUACCAUGGGCAUAAGAAUUGUUCUUCGGACUUUCAUCACCAUAUUAAAAAAAGUAUUGAAGGAGAGGUCUGUAAAAAAAUCAUCCAUUAAUGAGUGCGAGCACUACUAAGACAACUAUAGCACACAAUAACCAACAAUCUAUAUAGAAUCCGGUCACUUUGAAAAGUUAAAAUGAUUUAUACAAUAUACUAGAGAAUUGUGCCAGCUAGACCACUGAUCAUGAAGUAAAAUAUUUAGAGAAAUAUCUUUACAAAAGACAACUAUUAUUGGUACAAAAUUUGGAAGGGUAGUCACUGAAAAGAAAUUCCUUUCUAACUGAAUACAACACUGAUCAAAUUAUACCAUUGAUAGUAACUUGUGUAAGAUAAUAUUACGUACGACAAAAUCACUGGAUAGAGGACUCCCUCGGUAUUAAUGUAUUAAUCGUCGCUCAAGAACACAUAAUAGAAGUACUGUAACGAAUGGCCCAAAUGAAAUUUUAUAUAUGUCAGCAAAUACAAACUACAAAAGGGCAUGUUAUUUAAUACACCACAGAAUAAUUUGAGCAAAUUCGAUCAUAGCAGGUCUAAACAUGCAAGAUUAGCAUCACAAAUCAUAGCUUCUAUAACAUCAGAGUCCAUAGCAUCAGAGGUCGUACCUUUCGCAGUGUGUGAGUUUCUCAUUCCAGCACACAUACAUUGUCAUGUACCAGCUGUUUGUAGAGCUCAUCCCAGUGAGAAUUUGUAUCUUCUUUAGUUAUUAUGUCUCUUAACAGUUAGGAUAGCAUUAUAACUAAGUUGAUGAGUUGUUAGGUUUUUGGUUGGUGAUGUCUCUUGUUAGAUUUAACCUAGAAUAAAAAAAUUAUAAUCUAGAAGUUACUCAUCUGUUGGCUUUACUCAACAACUUUUUAAUUAGAAGGAGCUCCUAACAUAGAGCAUCUACAAACAUAAAUUCUAUUCCAUGGCAUAUGGAUUUGCUAUUAACGUAUUGAUUUGUAUCUAUAUGUUUACACCAAAUCAAAAUCAAAUGGAAGCAUCGUACAUCAUUAUUCCAAGGAAAUAAGCUAAGAGCAUGCAUCUUCAUUCUUCAAUAGAGUUCUGCUCGGUGUUCAGUGCAUAUAAUAAUGUAGUGCUACAAUUGGUAUUCCUCCAGACUAUGCUUUUUCAUACAGCAAAUUGGCACCUCAUCUCCAUAGGAGCUGUGAAAUCUUUACUUUGGUCUCUCUUUCCCCUGUUUGCAAAUCAAUUUAUGUUUCACCCCAUCUUCAUAGUAGAAGUAAAGGGACACGAUUAGCUGAUGAUAUUCAAAUUCACAUAAACUCUGUUUGCACCUACAGAUGACAACGACUACUCUGUAUGCACCUAUAGAUAACAUCGACUACUCUGUAUGCACAUGAUAUUAACUUUCCUAU